This 397-nucleotide ribosomal RNA is filed under the name uncultured bacterium. Its description in RNAcentral is "partial 16S ribosomal RNA". It matches the Rfam family "Bacterial small subunit ribosomal RNA", at positions 523 to 918 of the family's 1533-position model. The record is from RNAcentral.
AUACGAAGGUGACAAGCGUUAUCCGGAUUUACUGGGCGUAAAGGGCGUGUAGGCGGUCUUGCAAGUCAGAAGUGAAAUUCCUGAGCUCAACUCGGGCGCUGCUUCUGAAACUGCAGGACUUGAGUGCUGGAGGGGAUAGCGGAAUUCCUAGUGUAGCGGUGAAAUGCGUAGAUAUUAGGAGGAACACCAGUGGCGAAGGCGGCUUUCUGGACUGUAACUGACACUGAGGCAUGAAAGCGUGGGUAGCAAACAGGAUUAGAUACCCUGGUAGUCCACGCCGUAAACGAUGGGUACUAGGUGUAGGAGGUAUCGACCCCUUCUGUGCCGUCGUUAACACAAUAAGUACCCCGCCUGGGGAGUACGGUCGCAAGACUAAAACUCAAAGGAAUUGGCGGGG